UACAUUUCAAAUGUUAUCCCAACUCACAGAA
RNAcentral lists this non-coding RNA (31 nucleotides) under Mus musculus (house mouse). Lineage: Eukaryota; Metazoa; Chordata; Mammalia; Rodentia; Muridae. The record is from RNAcentral.